This 1479-nucleotide ribosomal RNA is filed under the name Capsicum chinense (habanero). Its description in RNAcentral is "bacterial SSU rRNA". It matches the Rfam family "Bacterial small subunit ribosomal RNA". Lineage: Eukaryota; Viridiplantae; Streptophyta; Magnoliopsida; Solanales; Solanaceae. The record is from RNAcentral.
AGAGUUCGAUCCUGACACAGGAUAAACGCUGGCGACAUGCUUAACACAUGCAAGUCGAAUGGGAAACACGGGAAACAGCGUUUCCAGUGGAAGACAGGUGAGUAAUGCAUAAGAACCUGCCCUCGGGAGGGGAACAAUAGCUAGAAACGUCUGCUAAUACCCCAUAGGCUGAGGAGAAAAAGGGGGAAUCCACUCGAGGAGGGGCUCGCAUCUGAUUAGCUAGUUGGUGAGGUAAUAGCUUACCAAGGUGAUGAUCAGUAGCUAGUCCGAGAGGAUGAUCAGCCACACUGGGAUUGAGACAUGACCCAGACUCCUAUGGGAGGCAGCAGUAGGGAAUUUUCCAUAAUGGGCAAAAGCCUGAAGGAGCAAUGUCGCCUGGAGGUAGAAGGCCCAUGGGUCGUGAACUUCUUUUCCCGGAGAAGAAAAAAUGACAGUAUCUGAGGAAUAAGAAUCAUCUAACUCUGUGCCAGCAGCCGUGGUAAUACAGAGGAUGCAAGUGUUAUCUAGAAUGAUUAAGCAUAAAGCAUCUGUAGGUGGCUUUUUAAAUCCACCGUCAAAUGCCAGGGCUUAAGCCUGGACAGGCGGUGGAAGCUACCAAGCUGGAGUACAGUAGGGGCAGAGGGAAUUUCUGGUAGAGUGGUGAAAUGUGUAGAGAUCAGAAAGAACACCAAUGGCGAAAGCACUCUACUUGGUCGACACUGACACUGAGAGAUGAAAGCUAGGAGAGAAAAUGGGAUUAGAUACCCUAGUAUUCCUAGACGUAAAUGAUGGAUACUAGGUGCUGUGUGUGUCGACCCGUGCAGUGCUGUAGCUAACACGUUAAGUAUCCUACCUGGGGAGUAAGUUCGUAAAAAUAAAAGUCAAAGGAAAUGACGGGGGCCCGGACAAGUGGUGGAGCAUAUGGUUUAAUUUGAUGCAAAGCGAAGAACCUUACUAGGGCUUGACAUUCUGCGAAUCCUCUUGAAAGAGAGGGGUACCUUCGAGAAAGCGGACAUAGGUGGUGCAUGGCUGUCGUCAGCUUGUGCCGUAAGGUGUUGGGUUAAGUUCCACAAGAAGCACAACCCUCGUGUUUAGUUGACAUUGUUGAUUUUGGAACCCUAAACAGGCUGCCGGUGAUAAGCCGGAGAAAGGUGAGGAUGACGUCAAGUUAUCAUGCCCCUUAUGCCUUGGGCGACACACAUGCUAUAAUGGCCGGGAUAAAGGGCCGCUAUCCCAUGAGGGUGAGCUAACCCCAAAAACCCAUCCUCAGUUUUGAUUGUAGGCUGCAAGUCACCUGCAUGAAGUUGGAAUUGCUAGUAAUCGCCGGUCAGCCAUACGACAGUGAAUUCGUUCCUGGGCCUUGUACAAACUGCCCGUCACACUAUGGGAGCUGACCAUGCCCAAAGUCAUUACCUUAAUCGAAAGAAGGGGGAUGCCGAAGGCAGGGCUAGUUACUAGAGUAAAGUUAUUAGAAGGUAGCCAUACUAGAAGUUGCGGCUG